RNA transcript from Hypanus sabinus (Atlantic stingray), 5609 nucleotides. It is a transcript of the gene named ubiquitin specific peptidase 48, with no coding region annotated. The record is from RefSeq and is a predicted model, not a curated record. NCBI's taxonomy places the organism in Eukaryota, Metazoa, Chordata, Chondrichthyes, Myliobatiformes, Dasyatidae. The transcript has 20 exons.
AAAUGACCUGGAUGAAGAAGUAGAAGGGUGGGUUAGUAAGUUUGCUGAUGAUACAAAGGUUGGCGGUGUUGUGGAUAGUCUGGAGGGUUGGCAGAGGUUACAAUGGAACAUCGAUAGGAUGCAGAACUGGGCUGAGAAGCGGCAGAUGGAGUUCAAUCCAGGCAAGUGUGAAGUGAUUCAUUUUGGUAGACCAAAUUGGAAGAAUUUAAUAUUAAUGGUAAGACCCUUGGCAGUGUGGAGAAUCAGAGAUCUUUGUGUCACGUUCAUAGGACACUCAAAGCUGCUACUCAGGUUGACAGCGUUGUUGAGAAGGCAAAUGGUGUGUUGGCAUUCAUCAAAUCUGGGAUUAAGUUCAAGAGCUGUGAGGUAAUGUUACAGAUAAAUAAGACCUUGGUCAGACCUCACUUGGAGCACUGUGUUCAGUUCUGGUCACCUCAUACAGGAAGGAUGUGGAAAUCAUAGAAAGGAUGCAGAUGAGAUUUACAGGGAUUGGGAAGCAUGCUUUGAUAGAUUGUGCACACGUGGCCUUUUCUCCUUAGAGUGAUGGAGGACGAGAGGUGACCUGAAAGAGGUGUAUAAGAUGAUGAGGGGCACUGAUUGUGUGGAUAGCCAAAGGCCUUUUCCUAGGGCUGAAAUGGCUAACAAAAGGGGCCAUAGUUUUAAGGUGCUUGGAGGGGACGUCAGGGGCAAGUUUUUCACACAGAGAUUGGUGGGUGUGUGGAAUGCACCACCGGUGGCAGAAGUGGAUACAAUAGGGUCUUUUAACAGCCUUUUAGACAGACACAUGGAUCUUAGAAAAAUAGAGAGCUAUGCGCUAGGGAAAUUCUAAGCCGUCUCUAGAGUAGGUUACGUGGUUGGCAUAACAUUGUGAGCCAAAAGGCCUAUAUUGUACUGUAAAUUUCUAUGUUCUAAAAUACAUUUUGAGGACUCCCCUCUGCCUCAUAUUUAAGAGAAAUAUUUAUCAUUUCUUUCUUCAACUACUUACAUUGUACUUCUACAUCUAUCAUUAUGUUGACCACUCACAUAGCUUGUCUAUUUUCUCAUGCAUGUCCUGAGGGGUGCACCCCUCACUACUUGAAUUCUUGCCAUCAGCAAGUGUAUAGUCAGACCACACAAGCCUGUCGUUGAUAUAGGGUAUGAUGUAGUCUAUGUUGAUUCCAGGAUUACUAAAGACUCUUGUAAUCAAAGGGGAAUUGUAAGUGGAUUUUGUGUCUGUUCGUUUCCCCUCCAUAAGUGCUGCCUGACCUAGAGUUCCGUUCCUCUAGCUUCUGGGACCUGCAGCCUCUCUGGUGUCAGCCACAUGAAACAUUCUCUCUCCACAGAAGCUGCUUGACCCGUUUAUUUAAGAUUUUCAGCAGCUGCAGAUUCUUUCCUUUAAACUCCCACUGAACUGUUGACUGGGUUUUCGGCCGGAAAUGCUGGUCCCUGUUUCCCUCUUCACCGAAGCCGCCUGACCUGCUGAAUGUUUGGGAUCUGGCGGGGUUUCCUCGCUUCCUGCGGUGCGCAGCGACGUUUGAACUCCAGUCACAUUCAUUCGAUUUGCAGCGGAGAGCGGCCAGUGGCCAGUGGCCAAGGGGAUCGCCUGAGGCGCUCGCAAGGCGAGCUCUGGCGGGCGGCGGGCUGCCGGCUGCCUGCGUACCACGCCACGGCUUGCUGCGGUCAUCGACGUCACCCUCGCCCUGUGCUCCUCUGAGCUGUACGUCACGUUCUCGGUUGCUUGGCGGCGCAAAGCAGGCCCGGAGCUGAAGCCAAGGCCUCGGGCGUGGGGAUAGGCGACCCUCCUACUGCGGGAGUCCCGAAACACUCCCUCCGUCCCUCCCUAUCCGCCCCGCCAUCGGUAAGAACUCAGCGCGCCCAUGGCCCCCAAGCAGCAGCUGGAGAAGGCGGCCUGGCAGUGGGCGGAGAGCGUCAGGCCGGAGGAGGUGCAGCAGGAACACGUCGAGCUGGCGUACCGCAUCCGCCUGGGAUCGUGCCGGAGGGACGCCCGCAGACGCAACUGUAGAGGGAAUCCCAACUGCUUAGUGGGUCUUGGUGAACAUGUAUGGCUGGGGGAAAUUGAUGAAAAUAGCUUCCACAACAUUGAUGACCCUAAUUCUGAAAGGAGAUGCAAGAAUGCUUUUGUAGGCCUAACUAAUCUUGGAGCUACUUGUUAUGUCAACACCCUGCUUCAGGUUUGGUUUCAUAACCUGGAAUUACGACAAGCAUUGUAUCUCUGCCAUAGUCCUCAAAAGGAGACAGUGUUGGGACAAGGGAUUGAGGAAGAUGCGGAUUUUGAACCACAGUCCAUCUGUGAGCACCUUCAGUACUUAUUUGCUUUGCUUCAGAGCAGCAAUAGAAGAUAUAUUGAUCCUUCUGGAUUUGUAAAAGCAUUGGGCCUGGACACAGGACAGCAGCAGGAUGCCCAAGAAUUUUCCAAGCUUUUUAUGUCCCUAUUAGAAGACACUUUAUCAAAACAGAACAAUCCAGAUGUACAGAAUAUUAUCCAGCAACAAUUCUGUGGACAGUAUGCAUAUGUCACAGUGUGUAAUCAGUGUGGCCGUGAGUCUAAGCUGUUAUCCCGUUUUUAUGAACUGGAGUUAAAUAUCCAAGGACAUAAGCAGCUGACAGAUUGCAUUGAUGAGUUUCUGAAGGAAGAAAAGUUGGAGGGGGACAAUAGGUAUUUUUGUGAUGAAUGUCAAGAUAAGCAGAAUGCCACCAGAAAAAUUAAACUUCUCAGCCUCCCAAGAACCCUCAAUUUGCAGCUUUUGAGGUUUGUCUUUGACAGGCAAACUGGUCAUAAGAAAAAACUAAACUCCUACAUCAGUUUUCCUGAAGUUUUAGACUUAACUACAUAUCUUGAAAGGAAAGAUAUUGGCUGUGUUUAUGAACUAAGUGCAGUGCUGAUCCACAGAGGGGUGAGUGCAUAUUCUGGCCAUUACAUUGCACACGUACGAGAUGACAGGACUGGCGACUGGUAUAAAUUUAAUGAUGAGGAGAUUGAGAAAAUGGAAGGAAAGAAGCUGCAGCUGGGAAUAGAGGAAGAUCUUGCAGAGCCUUCGAAAUCACAGGCACGCAAACCUAAAUGUGUUAAAGGUGUCCACUGUUCAAGAAAUGCUUACAUGUUGGUGUACAGACGGAAAGUGGAAGUAUGCAAUGAAAAGGAAAUAAGUGUUCAACUCCCACCACAUCUACAGAAAAUGGUUGAACGUGACAACAAAAAAUUUGAAGAAUGGUGCAUGGAAAUGGCUGAGAUGAGGAAGCAGAGUGUGGACAAAGGCAAAGCCAAGCACGAGGAAGUGCAAGAACUCUUUAACAUGUUAGCAGCAAAAGAAGGAGAACACUAUGAAUUUCUACCAGUAGACUGGCUACGAAAAUGGCUGGAUGACUCUGCAGCAACAAAGCCAAUUGAUAAUUCUCAGCAGUUAUGUGCACAUAAUAGACUAACUCCUGAUAAAAUUUGUGAUGUUAAAAGGAUUUCUCAGAAAGCAGCUGACAUCUUCUAUGCCAGAUAUGGAGGUGGCCCCAGGUUAGAUGCUUCUGCUUUAUGUAGAGAUUGUGUCAUGGAGAAAUGUAGGAUACUUAGAUUAAAGAAUCAAUUAAAUGAAGAUUACAAGAUUAUCUCCAACCUAACUCGAAUCACAUUACAAAGCCAUGAAGGAUACUGGGUGGGGAAAACUUCACUUCGGAGCUGGCGCCAACUAGCACUCGAUCAACUGGAUGGAAAAGAAAAUGAUUCCAGUCGCACUAAUGGGAAAAGCAAUGGUGAAGGUCCAAACAAUUUGCAUGUCAAAGGAGAUGAUGAAGUACCAGGAGAGAAAGAAGAAAGCGAGGACUUGAAUUUCAAUGAAGACCUUGUCUGUCCACAUGGUGACUUAUGCACAUCUGAAAGUGAAAGAAGACUUGUCUCUGAUGAAACAUGGCAUAGACUAAAGGCUUAUUUCCCCAAAUCACCAGAAUUCAUACAUUAUCACUCACCUUGUGUCCAGUGUCAGGUGUUAGAAAAAGAAGGUGAGGAGAAUGAGACCCUAAGCAAAAUGAUGGCCAAUGAACAGAAAUCAGCACUUCUGUGUCUUUUUCAAGAUAAAAAUAGACCACUCAUUAUCAAAUGGCCUGAGGAGACUGAUGUUCUUUAUGUUGUUUCCCAGUUUUUUGUUGAAGAAUGGAAGAAGUUUAUCAGCCUCCUGUAGAAAUGGCGAUUUGGAAUGAGUUACAGGAAGGACACAUGACAAAUGAGUACAUGUAAUAUACUUCCAGGACGCCUCAGAUGGUGACUCGUGUGGCGGCAGAACUCUCAAUGGAUGCAAUUAAAUAUUCUUGUUUCAGCCUGAUACAGCUGAAAACCACAACUGCUUCCAAAGUCAGUACAGUUAGUACAAUGUGUUUAUGCGAUUAAAUAAACUAUCGCUGCUUAAAUCUGAUGAAACAAAGCUGAUUGUGGACAUUCUCCUCUGGAAUUGUGGGGUGGGGGUUGGGUACAGCACAGGAUUGAAAGAAGCUGCAAAGGAUCAUAAAUUUAGUCGGCUCCAUUUUCAGUACAAACCUACAAAGUACUCAGGACAUCUUCAAGGAGUGGUGUCUCAGAAAGGCAGCGUCCAUUAUUAAAGACUCCCAGCACCCAGGGCAUGCUUAUUGUUACCAUCAGGUAGGAGGUAUAGAAGCCUGAAGGCACACACUCUGAUUCAGGAACAGCUUCUUCCCCUCUGCCAUCUGAUUCCUAAAUGGAACCAUUGGACACUACCUGACUUUUUUAAUAUAUAGUAUUUCUGGUUUUUUUGUAAAAUUUUUAAUCUAUUCAAUAUACAUAUACUGCAAUUUAUUUUUUUAUUUUUACCUUUUUUCCUUCUAUAUUAUGUAUUAAAUUGAACUGGUACUGCUGUUAAUAAAGUUCACAUAAUAAACCUGAUUCUGUCUCUGAUUCUAAAAGCAAUUAUGAUAUGCAUUGUUUGUGUUGAUUGUGUUAAAUCGGGCAUGAUAAAUAAUUUACUGUUAUGAAAAGUUAACCCUUGUGUGCAGGUUAGGAAGCUAAUCAAGAUUUAAAUGUUGUUACUGGGUACCGUAAUUUAAACCUUUUGAAAAUUUGAAGGAAUGGUGAUGGAAAUUGUGCUGGCAACUUGUCACUGUUGGUGAGAGCUGAACAUAAAUAGUUUCAGCAUUCUCAGUAUUGGGUAUAAUUAAGUUACCUCAGCUGGGUUCACACAGUACCUUGAAUAGGACAGCCGAGCAUCAAUGGAGAUACUGUAUAGAUGGAAGGGAUAUUAUUACAAAGGUCCAUCGGUAUACUCUAAGUCAGAGUGAUACCUUCAAUUAACAGACAUAAGAUACAGAGGAGAAACUGAUCUUGUAAGGCUGUAAUCCGAGCAGAGACAUUGAAGCAAUUUUCCAUUUUAAUAUUUGUAUGCAAAGUUGCCUUUCAGUGUACAUGUAUUGCAUUGCUGGAAGUCCCUCCUCUGACUACUUUCAUUUGAUUCUGUUUGCUGAAGGAAGCCAACGAAAUGCAGUCCUGUAUCGUCUGUAGGCAACAAUGCUCUUCUCUGUCCGCAUGGAGGCCUCAUGUUUACAGCAGAGUCAAUGACCAAAGAGGAUUCAAAACACUCUGAUAUGGCCAAGUGAAUGGGACAUCAUCCACAAAU